Molecule: ribosomal RNA, 256 nt
Filed under: uncultured bacterium
Lineage: Bacteria
Description: partial 16S ribosomal RNA
Rfam family: Bacterial small subunit ribosomal RNA
Source: RNAcentral
GAGUUUGAUCGUGGCUCAGGACGAACGCUGGCGGCGUGCCUAACACAUGCAAGUCGAACGGAGUUUGAGAAGCUUGCUUCUUAAACUUAGUGGCGGACGGGUGAGUAACGCGUGAGUAACCUGCCUUUCAGAGGGGGAUAACGUUCUGAAAAGAACGCUAAUACCGCAUGAGACUACAGAACCGCAUGGUUCAGUGGUCAAAGGAGCAAUCCGCUGAAAGAUGGACUCGCGUCCGAUUAGAUAGUAGGCGGGUAAC